AUCUGUUUUAGUGGGGUGCAAAGCCUAAGGGGUGGGGCUCCAAACCCAACUCCCAAGGAUCCCAUUUUGACUGCGUCGUUUCUAGGAAUCAUUUGUUGCUCUGAAUCUUAGGGUUGAAGCUGCUUCGGUGAAACAUUGGUGAGCAUGAACAGAUCUUCCACUGUUUCUUGACCGUGCAAAUUCACUCGAUUUUUCUUCUGGUUGUUAUAUCACAAGAGAAACGCGAUUCCACUAGCAACCUGCGCUGAUUUCACCAUCAAAGGUAUGACUUCGUAUUGAACUCAUUUUUCUCCCACGAUUUUUCCUCCUAUCUACUACAGGUGAAUUAAAUUAUCUCAUUACUAUCCAGGUCUGUCGUUUCAUCCCUUCUCUUUCUCUCUAUGAUUUUAUUUUGUUAAUUUGAUUUUCUAUGUUUCAUGUUUUUGAGGGGAAAAAAAUACUUCGUCACCUUUUAAUUCCUGGAUUUGAAUCUGUAAAUUUUGAGUUUUCUUUCUUUGCAAUUUCUUCAAUUGAGAAUGGGAAGUCUAGUAGGAAUUUAGAAAUGUUAAAAUAGAAUUUGGUGCAUGAUCCUUGAAAUUUGUGAUUGACUUAUUUGUGUGUGACUUCAUAAUUACUUUGUUUUUCUGCUAAGCCCAACUUAUCUUCAGACCAAUUCUGCCAAGACGUAAGGAGACUUUUCAAAAGAAGGAUGAUGCGGCAAUUCCAGUCUUGACAAGAAUCAAAUUUGAUGAUUUCAUUCAGAUCCCAAUUUGAUUUGCAAUGGAUCAUCGCCAGUGAGGGGAUAGAAAGUCAGAAGACGAAAUUCUAUUGGCUUGCAAGGAUUCUGUGGCAAUUUUGAUUAUGUUUGAUCUAACAAGUCAACGCACAUUAAUCAGGUGCCAUCUUUAUCAUGUUAAAUUUAAAAUAAUUCAGGAUAUGUAGCUUUUUUUAGGAGCUAAUUGCUAAUCACAGAAGUUCGUACUCUUUUUUAUUUUGGUAAAGUUUGAAAGAAUGGUCAAAUUAAUUUAUUUUGUUGUUGUUGCCAUUUAUAAAGUCUAUUCAGUCUUAUAUGAGUUUAAUCUAUAUCGCUCUAUAAACAAUACAAAGAAAAAUGAUCAAGUACAUUAUUGCACUUUCCCCCCAUUAAUUUGAGUUCAAUUCAGAAACCAAAUUAUAGCUGUCCAAGUUGUGCUCCUUGGAAGAUCAAGGAUCGAAGUUGCAGCUGCUUACAGUGAUCCGAAAGGAAAAACAAAAAUCUGCACAAGUUUGUUUGCGGAAUUGACUCAAGUUGAAUGAUGACAGACUGCAACUCUCUAUCUGUUAAUCUUUUGAAUUCUUUGAAUUGUUUUGCCUGUCAGGUUCUGGGGGUAGGAUUGGAUCCCACCAUCGUAUCUGCGCGUGCGUGUUACAUGGCUACCUGCAUCAGAUUUUUGUUUUCUAAACCCACUCUAUUCUUCUUUGAUUCUUCCUGAUACUGUAUAAGCAUGUGAAAUCUUAGUUGUCGUGGUUGCACUGCAUUGGACGGUUGCACUGCAUUGGACGCUCAUGUUAGAAAACUGUUGAGUGGCCUCAGUGGGAGUGGGAAAUCUGCAUUUUGGUGCGUUGAAAGUUUUGUUUGUUUUAAUCACAGGUUGUUGAAUAGCUUUAGGAGGAACAUCACAAUGAAGACCAACAUCACAUUUCAGAAGCACUAUCCGGGUUUGGAGUUGCCUUGCUGUGCCCACGGAGUAAAUUUAGAUAGAUGUGUCAGCAGAAGGCAGUGAAGCAGCAACCUGAAGGUUGAACUGUGCUUUUUAAGAAAUCCUCUAGAAUAUGUCCAUCUUUAACCCGCCCUACUUAAAACUCCAGUGGUUGGCCCGUGUAUGGAUUUUGAAUUACACUUUCCAAAGUGGGGAGCAUUUCUUAACAAUCAGUAAGGUAAUGCAUAGAGCCGCAGAGUUAGCUAGCCUCAAUACUUUAUGAUGCAUAGGGCAGAUAAUGCUGGUGACAAUACUUUCUCCUCAAGCUGUAACUAUUUUCUCUUAUUAACAUUCAUGAUAUCAUACUAAACUUAGGAAUAUUGUGAUUUCUUAUGUUAAAAGUAUAUGACUAAACUCUUCAAUUAUAAAAGUUCACUACUUACUAUGA
Molecule: long non-coding RNA, 2106 nt
Organism: Lotus japonicus
Lineage: Eukaryota; Viridiplantae; Streptophyta; Magnoliopsida; Fabales; Fabaceae
Exons: 3
Source: RefSeq, a predicted model, not a curated record